AACAUCGCGCACCUGCGGGAACCUGCGGAAGGAUCAUUACAGAGUUGCAAAACUCCCUAAACCAUUGUGAACGUUACCUAAACCGUUGCUUCGGCGGGCGGCCCGGGUCCUUCCCGGCGCCCAUCGGCCCUCGCGGGCGCCCGCCGGAGGUAAACCAAACUAUUGCAUUGUAUGGCCUCUCUGAGCCUUCUGUACUGAAUAAGUCAAAACUUUCAACAAUGGAUCUCAGAUCGGAAGAGC
Molecule: unclassified non-coding RNA, 240 nt
Filed under: soil metagenome
Description: partial contains 5.8S ribosomal RNA, internal transcribed spacer 2, and large subunit ribosomal RNA
Source: RNAcentral